GAGUUUGAUCCUGGCUCAGAUUGAACGCUGGCGGAAUGCUUUACACAUGCAAGUCGAGCGGCAGCGCGGGGCAACCUGGCGGCGAGCGGCGAACGGGUGAGUAAUGCAUCGGAACAUGUCCAUGUCGUGGGGGAUAGCUCGGCGAAAGCCGAAUUAAUACCGCAUACGCCCGAGAGGGGAAAGCCGGGGACCGCAAGGCCUGGCGCGAUUGGGUUGGCCGAUGUCCGAUUAGCUAGUUGGUGGGGUAAAGGCCCACCAAGGCGAUGAUCGGUAGCUGGUCUGAGAGGAUGAUCAGCCACACUGGGACUGAGACACGGCCCAGACUCCUACGGGAGGCAGCAGUGGGGAAUUUUGGACGAUGGGGGAAACCCUGAUCCAGCCAUUCCGCGUGAGUGAAGAAGGCC
RNAcentral lists this ribosomal RNA (404 nucleotides) under uncultured beta proteobacterium. RNAcentral describes it as "bacterial SSU rRNA". It matches the Rfam family "Bacterial small subunit ribosomal RNA", at positions 9 to 416 of the family's 1533-position model. The record is from RNAcentral. Lineage: Bacteria; Pseudomonadati; Pseudomonadota; Betaproteobacteria.